Molecule: long non-coding RNA, 288 nt
Organism: Nematolebias whitei (Rio pearlfish)
Lineage: Eukaryota; Metazoa; Chordata; Actinopteri; Cyprinodontiformes; Rivulidae
Exons: 3
Source: RefSeq, a predicted model, not a curated record
GCCUCUGGUGGCUCCACAGCAGAGCCUCUGGAUAUACCUUGCUGGAAACAGCCGCCAAAUCUGCCUCCAAUACCCAAAGAGCUGGCUGCGCAGAUGCAGCACAGCACAGCUGAGCUAUGCAAAGAUCUGCACGGAAGCAUCAUGUACAGCCAGAGCCGUGACCACAGCACGGGAGGCUCACACCACAGCUCAGACAGAGGCAGCAACAGCACCUCAGGGAGUCACAAUCAAAAGAAAGGAAUGCAGGUCCAGAAGAUGCCAAAACAUAAUGCAGUAACCUGGGGGGAA